This 4301-nucleotide long non-coding RNA is filed under the name Homo sapiens (human). RNAcentral describes it as "HSALNT0315657". The record is from RNAcentral. Lineage: Eukaryota; Metazoa; Chordata; Mammalia; Primates; Hominidae.
AGAAAGAAGAAAGAAAGAGAGAGAAGGAAGGAAGGAAGGAAAGGAGAGACCAUUUACUGAGCAUCCAACAUAUACUAGGGCAUGGGGACUCAAAAAUGAUAAAUAAAUUGUCCAUGCCUUUAACAAACUCAGUAAAUAAAUGUUAUGAUCUGAAUGUUUGUGACCCCCCUUCCCAAAUUUAUAUGUUAAAACCAUUAGGUAGUAGUAUAUGUCAAUACCAAUGUGGUGGUAUUAAGAAGUGGGGCCUCUAGGAGGUGAUUAGAUAAUGAGGGUUCUGCCCUCAUGAAUGGGAUUAGUGCCCUUAUAAAAGAGGCCAAAAGGAGCUUGUUUGUCCUUCCCAACGUGAAGACACAGCUAGAAGGCGCCAGCUCUGAGGAACAAGCCCUCACCAGACAGCAAAUCUACCAGCACCCUGAUGUUGGACUUCUCGGCCUCCAGAACUGUGAGAAAUAAAUUUCUGUUGUUUAUAAGUUACCCAAUCUAAGACAGUUUGUUAUUGCAGCCCAAAUGGACCAACACAAUAAGUAUAUUUUAUUUAAUAAGUAAAUCCAUACAUAAAACAUCUCCUAUGUGCAGGACCUGUGCUGGGCAUUAGAAAUGCUGAGGUGACCAAGAUGUCUCAAACUUUGUGGGAUACGUAUCCUAGUAGAAGAGAAAAAUGUUAAAGUAUUAUCUUAAUUAUGAAAUUGCCAUGCGACCUAUCCUACAAAGAAGCACAACUGAUAUGAGAUUGUGAAAGGAGAGGUCUGAUCUAAUUAGGAAGUUAGGGACAGCUUCCUGGACAAAGAGACAUAUGCCUGAGAUCUGAAAGAUGAACAGGAAAUUACUAGUCAAAGGGAGAGGUAGAAGAAAAGCAGACCAGGAAGAACUGAAUGUGAGAAGACCUUGGAGAGAAAAGGCAUGUAGCACAUUAGAGGAACCAAAACAGGCUAGUGUGGUGGAUGAGAGUGGUGAGGCUGGGAGGUGGGCAAGUCAUGAAGGCUGUGGGAGAGCUACUGUUGGGUUUAAAACAGGGAUGGUAUGAUUAGAUCUGCAAUUCCGUAAGAUGGUUCUACCUGCUGUGUAGAGAAUGGUUUGCUGAGAAAGCAAUAAUAGAAACUGAGAGAAAAAUAGAAGGCUAUUACAAUAGUCCAGGUGAGAGGUAUAACGAAAGCUUGAAAGAAAGUAGCAGCACUGGAAAUGGAGAGAAAUAGAGGGUUAGAGAGAGACUUUAGAAAUGCAAAUUGCAGGACUUGGUGAUUGACGGGAAUUGUCUCCAGAAUCCCGGCACCCGUGGGUUGGCGGUAGCUCCAUUCAUGAUAAAAGGAGCAUUCAAAAGGGAUCAGGUUUGAGGGACAUCUUGCCCAUGAAAGAAACAGAUGUGUGGAGAUCACAACACUGUGAUGUGGGGGCAUGAUGGAGACAGAGGAGGGGGCUGCUGGCUCUGCCUGGGGAGUCAACUAAACCUCCACUGAAGAGUUGAUGAUAUGCUGGAUGUUGAAGGAAGAAUAUAAUUUUCUUAUAUUUUAGACCUCGCCUUUCACACUCUCACAGUCAAAAAAGAGAAAUGACAUAUGCCAAGACUCAGGAUCACACUUAAGAUGAGACAACAUAAAUGGGCAAGGAUGAGAACAAGAGUCACUUAACUUUAAUUACUUAUUUUAUUGGUGUUUUUGUUCCAAAUUCUUGUAGAAAUAUAUACUAGAUUUUUUAAAGUAAGUAUGGUGGGCACUGAUGCAUCACCAACAUCCCUCACUGAAGGACCUGGUGCCCCAGCUGCUGGGACUGCUGUUGGCAGACAGCCUUCAGCUGCCAUUCCCCUCAAGGACUGCCUCCUGGCCAAGGUCAUGCCUGGGGCACCUGACAUCUAGUGAACAGUUAAUGGGAGAGUGUAAAGACCUGGACAUUCAGGCCCAAGUUGAGACAACUCUGAGGGACCAUUCUACCUGCAGAGCUCUCCACAUGGUCAGUUGAGACUAUCACUGGGGCGACACUGAAGCUCAGUUUCUCCACCUGCCCCUUACUGAUUCCUCUCCACUCCCUUCUGCAGGUGUUGGUCCCCAAGGUGCUCCUUAAUAGGCAUCCUGCGCCUUAAACACUGCCUCAGAGUCUGCUUCCCAGGAAGUCCAAACAGAUUGAGAAUCUGAGGAUGAAGAAUGAAGCUCGGAGCCUUGCAGCGGGAAGAACUUUAUCUGAACAAGAGGCAGAAUUUCCCAGUGGUCCCCUCUUUCUGGAAGCCUUGUCCCUGGUGGGCAGGGGAAGAAGGACAGUGGGGAGAUCAAACUGUCACUUUUACAGUGCUAGGGCCCAGGUUAAUUACUGACCCCCCUCUCUGAGCCCUAGGGCUCUGCCCUAACCUGGAUCCCCUGAGGAUCCCAAGAGAGUUCUUUGUGGAGAGGAUGAGGCCAGGUAUCUGGCCCUUUCAGAAGAAGAGGGGGCACUCGCUAUGCUUGAACUAUGGCUUAAGAAGCCCUCAAGCACCCCAUCACUCCCUUUUUCCCCAUCAACAACAUGGGAUCACCACACCCUAGACUUCACUGGGCUGCCUCAGGGCAAGAAGCAACCAACUAAUUUUAUGGAGAAUCUUGGGAGAGGGCAUGGCCAGGAGCCCUUGGUGAGUCCGCAUGGCUGCCAGGAAAGGAUUUUUUUUUUUUUUAAUUGUUCUGCCAGAUGGCGGACGUGCUAUCAAACUGGAACAAUUUCAUGUUAAUAUCUUGACUUGGAGUUUCUGACCACUCAGAUUGUAUAAAUUAAACCUCAAAGCUGUGUAUGGGCAGAAUCUGAAUUCUUUUCUACCCAGAGGCCAGGGGAAACAGACAACUUUGCUUGACAUUUCCCUUUGCCUGAGCAUCUUUUUUCUGGCAGCAUAGCCUUUUGAGGGCCCUAGCCAUUAUGCAGAGCCUUGAUUCUGCCUCCCCACCUUGCAUAGGCCAAGGCCUUGCCUAUUGUACUAGCAUGUCAGAAACCCAAACCUCUUGAUCGCCAAGAUCACCAAAUACCCUCAAACAGGAUUGGGGACUAGUAUAAGCAUCAUCUCACCACUUCUGGUGUAUGAGAGUUUCUUCUGUUUCCUUUGAGCUCAAUAUUUUAAAGACUAUGUAUUAUAUUUAAUUCAUCAUUUCUAGGUGUUUUGUAUUGAGAGGUUUUUCAGGGUAUCUAGUUUGUUAUGAUGACAAAACUAACAGUCCACAAGCUAUUACUUUCCUCCCACCAAAAUCAUCAAUGAGUAAUAGCCACUUUUCAGUCAUUCUCCAAGUCGGAGCCAAUUUCUUCAUAGUUAGGACAGGUAUACUAUCCAAUUAAUAGACAAACAUACCCUGCAGAGAAAUCUUCCUCAUAUCUGAAACGUUCCUGCCAAAUCCUUUCACUUUAUCAGGUUCUAAGAGUUCCUGGAUUACUCAAAAAGUUUAUCAAUGUGAGCUUCCUGUGAGACAUUCUAGGAAGUUUAAUUGGGAACAGAAAAAUAUGGAGCCAUUUGAAAUGAUCCAAGUGGGACUCAGGGCUGGGUCAAGGAAGAGGAGUCAGCAAAGAAGCUGGAGAACGAAGAGAGAGUGUGGAGAAAAAGCAGUGUCCAAAGCCACAAGCGGAGUGAGCUGGGGAAGCCAGCCCUGAAUGGCAGAACUACAAAGUGAGCCCAACAGAGUCCCAUGGAAGGGAUUCAUAAAUAUAAAAGAUGAAGCAACUUUCCCUAUACCACUUGGCACGUGAAGAAAAAUGAAGCUUAGAGUUUCCCAGGUCUUAGUCCAAGGGCCCAGCAGCAAACCUUUCAAGCACACAAAUAAACAAAACCAACAAAAUAAACCAGAGUUGACCAAAAAAAAACAUGCAAAUUAAAUUAUAUAUUUUUUCCAUUUUCAUGAGAAAACUUGCUUCUGACAAAAAUACUAGAUUCCUUUCUUAUGUUUUAUAUUGUUGUGUUCUUGUUCCUUUUUAAGUCUCAUAAAAAAAUUUCCCCAUAAUAUUCAUGUUCCUCGAAUCCUGCCAAAGCCAUGGACAUUCCUAAAGAUUAGAUUUAUUUAGAAUACUGAGUCAACAAUUUCUAUGCAUUUUAUUUCACUAAGUUUUUGGGAGUCACUAAAUGUUUAAUCAUGUAAUUAAUCCUAAAGCCCUUCUAAUUGUGUUUGCUCAGGAAAAAAAAAGCUGAUUCAGAUUGCAAUGACAGACUAUUAGACAUGCCUUGGAAUUUAUAUAAGAAACCAAUAAGUUAGUAUAAAAAUAAUUGAGAUGUAUAUAUUAUGACUGAAAGCUGCCAGGCCAGGUAUGGUGACUCACGCCUGUAAUCCCAGCACUCUGGAAGGCCGAGGCAGGCGGAUCACCUGAGA